RNAcentral lists this unclassified non-coding RNA (286 nucleotides) under Hevea brasiliensis (rubber tree). The record is from RNAcentral. Lineage: Eukaryota; Viridiplantae; Streptophyta; Magnoliopsida; Malpighiales; Euphorbiaceae.
GGGCGUGUGCAAAUUUUGCAUUCUUUAUCAUAAUCAGCUCUCGUCAUGCGAACGUAGGGGUUAUCGCCGAGGCAAGACUCGCAGAUGAUGGGGAGGGCGUGUGCAAAUUUUGCAUUCUUUAUCAUAAUCAGCUCUCGUCAUGCGAACGUAGGGGUUAUCGCCGAGGCAAGACUCGCAGAUGAUGGGGAAAUCAGAGCGCUCCCAGCCAUCAGCUUCCAGAUCCCUUAGCAACCGAUGCGCCAUGGAAAAUCCUAGUCGAGCCCAACUCUGACCUCGUUGCCUUCAG